ACUACUUCUUGGUCUUUUGGCUAAGAUCAACUGUAGUAUCUGUUCUUAUCAGUUUAAUAUCUGAUACGUCCUCUAUCUGAGGACAAUAUAUUAAAGGGACUUUUGGAAUUUGGAGACGGAAUAGGGGCUUGCUCUGUCCACUCCAUGGGAUAAAAACAAAC
RNAcentral lists this small nuclear RNA (161 nucleotides) under Erinaceus europaeus (western European hedgehog). Its description in RNAcentral is "U2 spliceosomal RNA (ENSEEUG00000021119.1)". It matches the Rfam family "U2 spliceosomal RNA". From Rfam's summary of the family: U2 is a small nuclear RNA (snRNA) component of the spliceosome (involved in pre-mRNA splicing). The record is from RNAcentral. Lineage: Eukaryota; Metazoa; Chordata; Mammalia; Eulipotyphla; Erinaceidae.